This 72-nucleotide transfer RNA is filed under the name Ictidomys tridecemlineatus (thirteen-lined ground squirrel). Its description in RNAcentral is "Spermophilus tridecemlineatus (thirteen-lined ground squirrel) tRNA". It matches the Rfam family "tRNA". Rfam says of the family: Transfer RNA (tRNA) molecules are approximately 80 nucleotides in length. Lineage: Eukaryota; Metazoa; Chordata; Mammalia; Rodentia; Sciuridae. The record is from Rfam by way of RNAcentral.
GAGGCUGUAGCUCAGCAGCAGAGUGCUUGCAUAGCAUGCAUGAAGCACUGGGUUCGAUCCUCAGCACCUCCU